Molecule: long non-coding RNA, 795 nt
Filed under: Musa acuminata (dwarf banana)
Lineage: Eukaryota; Viridiplantae; Streptophyta; Magnoliopsida; Zingiberales; Musaceae
Description: long non-coding RNA (MACU_LNC009496)
Source: RNAcentral
GGUUGAGACAUGGAAUUGCCAUUGAAAGCAAUAAUGCCUUGUUCAGAUUGAAACUAGGCUCUGAUACCACAAAUGUUGGGGAUAGAGGAGCAAGGAAAAAACAGAAUACUAUGAUGCAAGUAAAAGAAUCCAUUCGAUUCAGGAAAAGCGAUGUAGUAUUUAAAACAAGAGGAUUGAUACGAACACUUACAAGAUAUUCCCAAGUGCACACACUCUCUAUAUCCCUUGUUUCAUGAACUAUGGUCCUAUUUAUAGGACCUAUUGGUAACUACCUCACUCCUUAUGUCACCCAUGAUUGAGGUAGUUAUUGAAACUAUCAUAUAAUUACUAGAUCAUGAUUGAAGUAGUUAUUGAAACCACCCUAUAACUACUAGAUCAUGAUUGAGGUAGUUAUUGAAACCACCCUAUAACUACUAGAUCAUGAUAACUAUGAAUCAAAUCUCAACACUCCCCCUUGAUUCAUAGUUACAUACACCGAUUUGCGACAUGAAAUAAACAUGCUUUUGAAUUGGAAGCGACUUGCUACAAGAUAUUCGUAACUUGUUCAUCUAUUAAUUCUUCAUCAUUAUGACUCCACUUGCUGCAAGAUCUCGGAUGAAAUGAUAGCGUAUCUCUAUAUGCUUCGUUCUUCUAUUAAACGUUGGAUUCUUCGUCAUUGCAAUUGUGGUUUUAUUAUCACAAAAUAUUUUCGUUGCUUCUUUUUGUUCUUGAUGAAGAUCUUCAAGAAGUCUUCUAAGCUAUAUUGCUUGACAAGCUGCUGAUGUUACGGCUACAUAUUCUGCUUCCGAUGUCGAC